RNAcentral lists this unclassified non-coding RNA (346 nucleotides) under soil metagenome. Its description in RNAcentral is "partial contains 5.8S ribosomal RNA, internal transcribed spacer 2, and large subunit ribosomal RNA". The stretch from base 1 to 121 matches the Rfam family "5.8S ribosomal RNA", at positions 35 to 154 of the family's 154-position model. The record is from RNAcentral.
GAUGAAGAACGUAGCGAAAUGCGAUAAGUAAUGCGAAUUGCAGAAUUUCCGUGAGUCAUCGAAUCUUUGAACGCACAUUGCGCCCCCUGGUAUUCCGGGGGGCAUGCCUGUCCGAGCGUCAUUGCUGCCCUCAAGCACGGCUUGUGUGUUGGGCCUCCGUCCUCCUCCCGGGGGACGGGCCCGAAAGGCAGCGGCGGCACCGCGUCCGGUCCUCGAGCGUAUGGGGCUUCGUCACCCGCUCUUGUAGGCCCGGUCGGCGCUUGCCGACACAUCAAUCUUUUUUCCAGGUUGACCUCGGAUCAGGUAGGGAUACCCGCUGAACUUAAGCAUAUCAAUAAGCGGAGGA